GACGAACGCUGGCGGCGUGCUUAACACAUGCAAGUCGAACGGAAAGGCCCUGCUUUUGUGGGGUGCUCGAGUGGCGAACGGGUGAGUAACACGUGAGUAACCUGCCCUUGACUUUGGGAUAACUUCAGGAAACUGGGGCUAAUACCGGAUAGGAGCUCCUGCUGCAUGGUGGGGGUUGGAAAGUUUCGGCGGUUGGGGAUGGAUUCGCGGCUUAUCAGCUUGUUGGUGGGGUGGUGGCUUACCAAGGCUUUGACGGGUAGCCGGCCUGAGAGGGUGACCGGCCACAUUGGGACUGCGAUACGGCCCAGACUCCUACGGGAGGCAGCAGUGGGGAAUAUUGCACAAUGGGCGGAAGCCUGAUGCAGCAACGCCGCGUGCGGGAUGACGGCCUUCGGGUUGUAAACCGCUUUCGCCUGUGACGAAGCGUGAGUGACGGUAAUGGGUAAAGAAGCACCGGCUAACUACGUG
RNAcentral lists this ribosomal RNA (468 nucleotides) under uncultured bacterium. Its description in RNAcentral is "partial 16S ribosomal RNA". It matches the Rfam family "Bacterial small subunit ribosomal RNA", at positions 28 to 507 of the family's 1533-position model. The record is from RNAcentral.